Molecule: long non-coding RNA, 303 nt
Organism: Gasterosteus aculeatus aculeatus (three-spined stickleback)
Lineage: Eukaryota; Metazoa; Chordata; Actinopteri; Perciformes; Gasterosteidae
Source: Ensembl
AAGGCAGAGCGUUGAGAGGGCGGAGUGUUUGGGAGGGCAGAGUGUUUGGGAAGGCGGUGCGUUGGGAGGGCGGAGUGAUUGGGAGGGCGGAGCGUUGGGAGGGUGGAGUGAUUGGAAGGCGGUGCGUUGGGCGGGCGGAGGGUUUGGGAAGGCGGAGCGUUGGGAGGGUGCAGCGUUUGGGAGGACGGAGCGUUUGGUAGGGCAGAGCCGUUGGGAGGGCGGAGCGUUGGCAGGGCGGACCGUUUGGGAGGGUGGAGCAUUUGGGAAAGCGGAGCGUUGGUAGGGCGGAGCGUUUGGGAGGGC